AGCCACCUUGCAGCCUCCUCUAUAUAACCAAAGCUUUGAAAAUUUCCCACCAGAUUUAGUACAAGAGCAGUCCUGAAUGGUAAACUCUUGUCUGCAGUGGGGUGAAGACUUAGACGGAAGCCGAACAAAACAGAAAAUACAAAUACUUGUUGAAGAUGGCAAAAGCUCCAGACUAUCUGUUAUGUUACGAGUGAAAGGCUAGUUUACAUUGUAAGUGAUGUUUAUGUUUUUUGUUUUCGGAGACAGACAAAUUUCUUUGGAAUUGUUGACCACUACUGUCAAAAAACAAAGCGAACCCUUAGUUUCAUUGAAGUGGAAAGUUCUGGUCCUCCACAUCACCCUCAAUUUACCUACAGAUAGGUGAUCAACAAUAAGGAUUACCCUGAGGGGAAGGGAAGGGAAGGAGCAUCGUUGAAGACAGACAAAAGGCUUCAAAGGACAGUCAGACUUGAACAGCAAGAACCAUGUCAUUGCAGAACCAUGUCAUUGCAGAACCAGGUCAAUGCUGUGUGUAAAGCAGAAGAAGAAGACAGACCUGGCGCAAGUCAAUGAAAGAGAGUUUGAAGACUUUGCUUGUGUACUCUACAUGCUGAAACCUGGAAAAGAGUGUAUAUAUGUAUUAAAAGUGAUGCAGUCUUGUGCAAAACAAUAAACAUAUUUUUCUCAGUGUCACAAAA
This is a long non-coding RNA of Stegastes partitus (bicolor damselfish), 677 nucleotides long. RefSeq lists it as uncharacterized. Lineage: Eukaryota; Metazoa; Chordata; Actinopteri; Pomacentridae. The transcript is spliced from 3 exons. The record is from RefSeq and is a predicted model, not a curated record.